GCCCCGGUGGCGCAGUGGCAGCGCGUUACUCUUCUUAAAUAAAGGUCGUAGGUUCAAAUCCUACCCGGGGCA
Non-coding RNA from Thrips palmi, 72 nucleotides. Lineage: Eukaryota; Metazoa; Arthropoda; Insecta; Thysanoptera; Thripidae. The record is from the annotation of a RefSeq genome assembly.